RNAcentral lists this ribosomal RNA (468 nucleotides) under uncultured bacterium. RNAcentral's name for it is "partial 16S ribosomal RNA". It matches the Rfam family "Bacterial small subunit ribosomal RNA", at positions 28 to 507 of the family's 1533-position model. The record is from RNAcentral.
GACGAACGCUGGCGGCGUGCUUAACACAUGCAAGUCGAACGGAAAGACCCUGCUUUUGUUGGUUUCUCGAGUGGCGAACGGGGGAGUAACACGUGAGUAACCUGCCCUUGACUGUGGGAUAACUUCAGGAAACAGGGGCGAAUACCGGGGAGAAGCUCCUGCUGCGUGGUGGUGGUUGGAAAAUUUCGGCGGUUGGGGAUGGACUCGCGGGUUAUCAGCUUGCUGGGGGGGUAGUGGCGUAACAGGGCUUUGACGGGUAGGCGGCCUGGGAGGGGUAACGGCCACAUGGGGACUGCGAGAGGGACCAGAAUGCAACGGUCGGCAGCAGUGGGGAACAUUGCAGAACGGGGGGAAGUCUGAUGCAGAAACGCCCCGUGCGGGAUGACGGGUUUCGGGUGGUAAACAGCUUUGGAAUGUGACGAAGCGGGCGUGACGGUACCGGGUAAAGAAGCACCGGCUAACUACGUG